Girardinichthys multiradiatus is the source of this 3232-nucleotide long non-coding RNA. RefSeq lists it as uncharacterized. NCBI's taxonomy places the organism in Eukaryota, Metazoa, Chordata, Actinopteri, Cyprinodontiformes, Goodeidae. The record is from RefSeq and is a predicted model, not a curated record. The transcript is spliced from 2 exons.
UUCACUAUCUAAACAUGACAUCAACGUUUUGUCAUUUUGAUGUUUUACAGAAAAAAAUAGCAUUUUGUGAACAACGCUAGAUUACAAAAAGGCUUUUAUUUCUACCAACAAAAUGUUAAAACCAAGAAUUACCGGUAACUGGGUGGUUAAGAGAUCAAAGUAACCAAAGUAAGUUCGGAGUAAGUAGUAUUAAAAAAAAUAUAUAUAUUUUCUCAACAAAUGGUGUUUCAUAAUAAGACAAAGGGUAUACGGUGAUUGAUCAGACCACUAGACAAAAAAGGAAAAACACAAAAACAUUAACUCAAGACUAUUACAUUAAACCUCAUUCUACCCUAUGAUGGCACAGUCCAUAGUUCAGCCUGAACCAUGUGACUCAGCUCUACCAUUGUCCUCCUUAUUUCACAGUCAAGAACAUUUCUUUUUCCUUUGGCAGCCAUGAUAUCUUAAAACACACCAGCGAUAAAUCAGCUUAUUUCUACUGACAAAAACAAUGCAACUAAGCAUGUCUGCUUCAUUUGGGAUGCAAUGCAAAGCCACUGGUGUUUAUUAAAUAGGUUCUUAACAAAGAUAUCUGCUUUGUUUUUUUUUACACUCUUUUAAUUGUAGCACCUUGAGAUUGAUGACCUAAUGUAAAGAGCAAUAUAAAUCAAAUUUAUAUUUAUUAUUAUUAUUAUUGUUAUUUAUCUCUAACUGAGGUCAUGUGGCAACAAAUAAUUCAUUGUAAAAUCUCGGUGGGAACGUUUUAGAAAUAAGCAAUAGGUGUGCUGAAAUAGAUUAACAGAUUACUCUGUUUAUGCCCAGUGCUGACCACACACCACCACCCUCACACCCUCCCUCCAUGUUACAUAUUCAAAAUUAGUUCAUUUUUCUUUAGAUUCUCUAAAAAUAAUGGCCAUAACAUCCAGAGUAUUUUUCCUCAAAUGUAAAUAAAAGAUGCCGGUUGUUUUUGGUGGUGGUCUUUUUGUGUUUUGCUGGUUCGUACUUUUGCCAUUUUUGGACAUCUUUCUUUCUUAAGAAAAGGAGCCACGUGCCACAUGCUGUUUUGUGACCAUGUCCACCUUGUUUCAUUUCAGUUUUGACAACCAAUGAUUUUAGGUGUUUUUCAAUAAUCAGCUGAUGGUCUACUGUGAGGAACGAUAGUUAUGUGAAUCCAUUACAUAAUAUCCACCAUCAGGUGGUGUGUCAAAAAAAGGUUUUUUUUAUGUGAGGGGAUCAUAAUCUGUCAAAUUUCAUUGGAGUCGAAUGGCCCAAACAGGGAUUAGAACCACUGUAAAUGAAAGCAUGAUGUAAUAUGAACUUUUCAGAAAAUAAUAUUGUAGAUUAGAUAAUAUAUGGAAGCAAUGGGUAAUGACAAUGGGUAUGAAGCGGUUUGUUUAUGAGUAUGAAAUGGAAGUACGGUUGGACAAAAUGACCAAGCAUGGACGCUAGCCGUGAUGACAUUCGCACAUAGAUAUCUUUGAGCAAAAAUACCACAGUUUUAUGGUAUCGUUGUGCUGACACAAAAAUUGUAAAAGUCUGUAACAUGAUCACAUUGCUUUUGUUUCAAACAGAAAAGCACAAAUUAUUCCUAUUGCUGCUAAAAUAAUAUAACAUAUUGAUUUAUUAUUGUUAUAAUAAUGGCAUCAUUAUCAGGUGUGGGAGGGGCAGUGCUGUGUCACUUUAUACAGCCCAAUUAAAAGGACUUUAAACUGUAGGAACAGUAUGAUGAAAACAUGUUAAGACAUUUUGAAACAGCAACUUUUUAAAACCUUGGUAUACCAUGACACUAGUAACCGGCCUAUGUCUAGUGGGUACAAAAUAGGUGUACAAAUUGGCAAAGGGUUGAAUUUAACAGGAGCCCACAUUAUCACCUAAAUUUUAGCUCAACGAACAGGAACAGAGGCUACAGUUCACACAGUGUCACCAACACUGGACAAUAAUAGACUCUAAAAAUGUUGCCUGGUCUGACAAGUCUAUGUUUCAGCUGCAACACUCAGAUCAUAGGCCCAGAAUUUGGAGUAAACACCAUGAAAGCUUGGGUCUGUCCUGCCUUGUGUCAGUCGUUCAGGCUUGUGAUGGUGGUGUAAUGGUGUUGAAAACAUUUUCUUGACAUACUUUGAAUGCCUUACUACCAACUGAGCAUUGUUCAAACACCACACCCUACUUGAUCAGUGUUGUUGCUGGCCAUGUUCAUCAUGACAAUGAGCUUACUGUACUUCAUUGGCCUCCACAGUCCCCAGGUCUCCUCCCAGUGGGACAUGUCCAGAAAACAUCCAAAUGGAGAUGCCUGAACCUCUUCAACUGGUUCUUUUCGCUGCAGAGGAGCAAUGCCUGUACUCUGAGCCGCCUCCUCCAUAACUUAGCUCCUCUCCCUGUCUCUAAGGAUAAACCCAGUCACUUUAUGGAGGAAACUCAUUCAGCUGCUUGUAUCUGAGAUUCUUGUGGCCAUCAUCCAUGUCACAUGACUAUAGACUGGAGCAAGUUAUUUGAACUCUUCUGUUUGAGACUAACCCCAAUCUAGAUGGAGCCGUCCACAGUUUUCCGGUUGAGACCAUGACUUUGGUCUUAGAGGAACUGAUUCUCAGCCAGGUCACUUCACACUGCUCCAGUGUCUGCUGGAGGUCAUGACCUGAAGAUUCCAACAGAACUAGACCAUCUGCAAAAAGCAAGGAUGAGACCCUGUGGUGCCAAAACUUCAGAUCCUAUCCAUGAACACCACUUGGGUCCAACUUAGCAUUAGCAAGUGGCGAGUGAGUGUGUAAUGGAGUCGGCAUAAAAGGGCAUGGAAAGUUCAACCACGAGGCUAAAUGUAUUAUUGACAAGCAGAAUUAUAAUGCAUGACACAUGUAAUAUACCAGCUUGACAAAUACUGAAGCAAAGCAGUCCUUCACUAUUGCCAUAUUGCACAUAUUGAUUCAAUAAAUUGUACAGUGAUGACUAAUAAUUACAGUUAAAAGCAAUGAGCCAAUUUAAAAAUGAGAUGAUACCUACAAGUACCUCGGAUGGCCUUGCUCCAUGGAGGCAUGGUGAUAGUUGGGUUUUUAUGUCAGUCUUUUUGUUUGUAAAUAUUUCAUGGAGUUUGUAAAUAGUUUGAAAUAUUUAAAGGAAUAGUUCCCCAAAAUCAAGAAAAACCGAACAUUUGAGUCUGUAGUGUGAAGAGAGUGUGAAAUCAGAAUAUCUGUAGGUACCUUGCAUCUACAUCUCCACUGCUGAUCUACAUUCUUACCAAAUUAUAACCAAAGAUGGUAUCUUC